AACGUAGGAGACAAACGUUAUCCGGAGUUACUGGGCGUAAAGGGCGUGCAGGUGGUCUGUUAAGUCUGGCGUGAAAGCUCUCGGCUAAACCGGGAGAGGUCGUUGGAUACUGGCGGACUAGAGGACGGUAGAGGCGUGUGGAAUUCCGGGUGUAGUGGUGGAAUGCGUAGAGAUCCGGAGGAACACCAGCGGCGAAGGCGGCAUCCUGGACUGGUCCUGACACUCAGGAGCGAAAGCGUGGGGAGCGAUCCGG
RNAcentral lists this ribosomal RNA (253 nucleotides) under uncultured bacterium. Its description in RNAcentral is "partial 16S ribosomal RNA". It matches the Rfam family "Bacterial small subunit ribosomal RNA", at positions 524 to 776 of the family's 1533-position model. The record is from RNAcentral.